Molecule: non-coding RNA, 72 nt
Organism: Podarcis muralis (Common wall lizard)
Lineage: Eukaryota; Metazoa; Chordata; Lepidosauria; Squamata; Lacertidae
Source: the annotation of a RefSeq genome assembly
AGGGGUGUAGCUCAGGGGUAGAGCAUCUGCUUUGCAUGUAGAAGGUCCCUGGUUCAAUUCCCUGCAUCUCUA